CAAUAGCGUAUCUUAAUGUUGUUGCAGUUAAAAAGCUCGUAGUCGAAUAUCUGGCCGGGAAAACCGAACUUCGUUUGGAGCUUUCCUAGGCCAUCCGCCUGAAAAAUUAGUGAUCGUUAAUAGCCUUUGCUUAUGGAUCAGGCACUUUACUUUGAAGAAAUUAGAGUGUUUCAGGCAGGCUAUCGCUUGAAUACACCAGCAUGGAAUAAUGGAAUAGGACUUUCAUCAGUUACUGGUUAAUGAUGUUUGUAAUGAUUAAUAGGGACAGUUGGGGGCGAUUCGUACUUGACAGUCAGAGGUGAAAUUCUUGGAUUUAUGAAAGACUAACUACUGCGAAAGCAUUUGCCAAGGAUGUUUUCAUUAAUCAAGAACGAAAGUUAGGGGAUCGAAGACGAUCAGAUACCAU
This 406-nucleotide ribosomal RNA is filed under the name uncultured eukaryote. RNAcentral's name for it is "bacterial SSU rRNA". It matches the Rfam family "Eukaryotic small subunit ribosomal RNA", at positions 592 to 1018 of the family's 1831-position model. The record is from RNAcentral.